Molecule: ribosomal RNA, 659 nt
Filed under: uncultured Bacillota bacterium
Lineage: Bacteria; Bacillati; Bacillota
Description: bacterial SSU rRNA
Rfam family: Bacterial small subunit ribosomal RNA
Source: RNAcentral
ACUGUUACUGACGCUGAGGCUCGAAAGCGUGGGGAGCAAACAGGAUUAGAUACCCUGGUAGUCCACGCCGUAAACGAUGAGUGCUAGGUGUUGGGGCCGACAGGUUUCAGUGCCGCAGUUAACACAUUAAGCACUCCGCCUGGGGAGUACGAUCGCAAGAUUGAAACUCAAAGGAAUUGACGGGGGCCCGCACAAGCAGCGGAGCAUGUGGUUUAAUUCGAAGCAACGCGAAGAACCUUACCAGGACUUGACAUCCCACAGAUCGAAUUAGAGAUAAUUCCUUCCCUUCGGGGACUGUGGUGACAGGUGGUGCAUGGUUGUCGUCAGCUCGUGUCGUGAGAUGUUGGGUUAAGUCCCGCAACGAGCGCAACCCUUACCUUUAGUUGCCAGCAGGUUAAGCUGGGCACUCUAGAGGGACUGCCGGUGACAAACCGGAGAAAGGUGGGGAUGACGUCAAAUCAUCAUGCCCCUUAUGUCCUGGGCUACACACGUGCUACAAUGGUCGGUACAACGGGUAGCCAACCCGCAAGGGGGAGCUAAUCCCAAUAAGCCGAUCCCAGUUCGGAUUGUGGGCUGCAACUCGCCCACAUGAAGUUGGAGUUGCUAGUAAUCGCGGAUCAGAAUGUCGCGGUGAAUGCGUUCCCGGGCCUUGUACACAC